AGUGGACGCUGGCGGUAGGCCUAACACAUGCAAGUCGAACGGCAGCACAGUAAGAGCUUGCUCUUACGGGUGGCGAGUGGCGGACGGGUGAGGAAUACAUCGGAAUCUACUUUUUCGUGGGGGAUAACGUAGGGAAACUUACGCUAAUACCGCAUACGACCUACGGGUGAAAGCAGGGGAUCUUCGGACCUUGCGCGAUUGAAUGAGCCGAUGUCGGAUUAGCUAGUUGGCGGGGUAAAGGCCCACCAAGGCGACGAUCCGUAGCUGGUCUGAGAGGAUGAUCAGCCACACUGGAACUGAGACACGGUCCAGACUCCUACGGGAGGCAGCAGUGGGGAAUAUUGGACAAUGGGCGCAAGCCUGAUCCAGCCAUACCGCGUGGGUGAAGAAGGCCUUCGGGUUGUAAAGCCCUUUUGUUGGGAAAGAAAAGCAGCGGGUUAAUACCCCGCUGUUCUGACGGUACCCAAAGAAUAAGCACCGGCUAACUUCGUG
This 492-nucleotide ribosomal RNA is filed under the name uncultured bacterium. RNAcentral's name for it is "partial 16S ribosomal RNA". It matches the Rfam family "Bacterial small subunit ribosomal RNA", at positions 29 to 507 of the family's 1533-position model. The record is from RNAcentral.